Molecule: non-coding RNA, 137 nt
Organism: Triticum aestivum (bread wheat)
Lineage: Eukaryota; Viridiplantae; Streptophyta; Magnoliopsida; Poales; Poaceae
Source: Rfam
UACUUACUCCCUCCGUCCGGAAAUACUUGUCAUCAAAAUGGAUAAAAGGGGACGUAUCUAGACAUAUUUUUGUUCUAGAUACAUCUGUUUUUAAUCAUUUUGAUGACAAGUAUUUUCGAGGACGGAGGGAGUAUAAC